UAUACAACUUACUACUUUCCCU
RNAcentral lists this microRNA (22 nucleotides) under Pteropus alecto (black flying fox). RNAcentral's name for it is "pal-miR-98-3p". Its record names the gene pal-miR-98-3p. Lineage: Eukaryota; Metazoa; Chordata; Mammalia; Chiroptera; Pteropodidae. The record is from miRBase by way of RNAcentral.